Pelobates cultripes (western spadefoot toad) is the source of this 572-nucleotide non-coding RNA. Lineage: Eukaryota; Metazoa; Chordata; Amphibia; Anura; Pelobatidae. The record is from the annotation of a GenBank genome assembly.
CUGGCAGAGAGGUCAUUUUUUUUUUUACAAACUUUGUUGAUUGUUUAUUUUUAAGGUGAGUAGUACGAGAGAAUUAGCAAAGCGUCUCUGCAAGAUUUGGUUAGAUUUGUACCUUAGAGUAAAUAUAAUGCUGGAUGGAAAUCUGUUACUGGAAUAGUACAAACAGGAAUCAAUAAGGAAAGUAUGUAAUAGGUGGUAAAUCAAGUCAUAAUGUAAAACAAAGCAAACCAAACAAACAAAAAAUGUAAGUGCUUCUAUUGCCAAAUAACAACGUUGAGUGUUCUCAAGAAGCAGAAAUGUAAGUGCUUAUAGUGUCUGGUUUCCCUGGCGCCAUCCUUCCACUCAGUGGUAAACCAUUUGUUAAAUGAGAGUCCUCAGCAGCAGCCAACCCCUUCUGUGCUGACCAGGCUAAUGAGGACGCAUUAGAAUCAGACUGAGCAGCAAUGGGUCACUGUGAUUGGCUGAGAUUAUCAGCUGGCCACUUUCAGCCUUUAAAAGUCACCACUGCGGUAAGAAUUUGUAUGGCUACAACAAAGUAUCCAAUCUCUACCUUAGCAAUACUUCCAGUGGGG